Molecule: long non-coding RNA, 642 nt
Filed under: Marmota monax (woodchuck)
Lineage: Eukaryota; Metazoa; Chordata; Mammalia; Rodentia; Sciuridae
Source: RNAcentral
GAUUUACUGACUCAAAACAGGCUCAAAGCAAGUCACCGACCAGCCAGGUACUGAAAUCUCCAAAACCACAAGGCACAACAAACCUUUCUUCUCUUGAUAUCUCAGGUGGUUUGCUCAGUAAUGGAAAGUUGACUAACACAGGUGGGGAGAAAAGUCGCCUGUGAGAAAGCAAAACCUCAGGCCCUCCUGACAUGGGAGUGAACGGAAUCUCUAGUCACCACAAGCCGUGAGCGCAAGGAAGCAGGGUCCCCCUCAUGACCAGAACCCAGAACAGUGACAACACGCAGGAGGUUCUCCAAGAGCACAUGCGGAAUGAAAGCACCAUGACCUUGACCGGUCGAAUGAGGCAGAGGGGCUGUUUCGUGGAUUCUAGAGUCUUAGGAGGUCUAUCAGCUUCUGCUUUUGCCUUCUUGGAGCCCUGAGUGACCAAGUUAAGAAGUCUGGUCAUCCACUGGGAGAGGACGGGUGGACAGAAAGGCCCUAGAGGGUGAAAGUCAUGAGAACGAGGAUGAAAGUUCUGCCAGUCCCAGACGAGUGCCCCAACUCAUGGAGGGGAAGCUGACCAUCCUACCAAGCCCUGUAGGCCACUGGCAGAUCCGGGGGCAAAUAAAGCUGUCUUUGCUUUAUGUCACUAAAUUUUGA